CUCAUUCUCUUCCUUGCAACUCUCACUCUCUCCAGAGAACCCUAGCAUCCUCGGUAAUGGCAAUGCUUGAAGAAGGAAACCAAAACACAGCCAUCGAACUAGCUUGGUAAUGUUCACCAUCCUCUCACACGAUUUUUCAUGUGGUUUGGUUUCCUGGUCAGAGGAUGUCCAGGCCUUUGUUGUUGGUGUUUGAUUCUUCUCGCACAGCUUCAGUUGUAUUGCUAACCCAUUGCUAAUUCAAAGACUAACUAUCAUGACAGAUUCUGGAA
Molecule: long non-coding RNA, 269 nt
Organism: Juglans regia (Persian walnut)
Lineage: Eukaryota; Viridiplantae; Streptophyta; Magnoliopsida; Fagales; Juglandaceae
Exons: 2
Source: RefSeq, a predicted model, not a curated record